UACGGAGGGAGCUAGCGUUGUUCGGAAUUACUGGGCGUAGAGCGCACGUAGGCGGCUUUGUAAGUUAGAGGUGAAAGCCCGGGGCUCAACUCCGGAACUGCCUUUAAGACUGCAUCGCUUGAAUCCGGGAGAGGUGAGUGGAAUUCCGAGUGUAGAGGUGAAAUUCGUAGAUAUUCGGAAGAACACCAGUGGCGAAGGCGGCUCACUGGACCGGUAUUGACGCUGAGGUGCGAAAGCGUGGGGAGCAAACAGG
This 253-nucleotide ribosomal RNA is filed under the name uncultured bacterium. RNAcentral's name for it is "partial 16S ribosomal RNA". It matches the Rfam family "Bacterial small subunit ribosomal RNA", at positions 524 to 776 of the family's 1533-position model. The record is from RNAcentral.